GCACUUCUGAAGAGUCCAACAAUAGGACGGAACGGCUGUCCAGUGC
Molecule: non-coding RNA, 46 nt
Filed under: Schistosoma curassoni
Lineage: Eukaryota; Metazoa; Platyhelminthes; Trematoda; Strigeidida; Schistosomatidae
Source: RNAcentral